This is a long non-coding RNA of Xenopus laevis (African clawed frog), 310 nucleotides long. RefSeq lists it as uncharacterized. Lineage: Eukaryota; Metazoa; Chordata; Amphibia; Anura; Pipidae. The transcript has 3 exons. The record is from RefSeq and is a predicted model, not a curated record.
AGGUACAACAGAUGAGCAAAUAAUAACUACCUUUGUAUAUGGAUGUCACGGUGGAAGAACUGCUGUCAUCGGACAUCUAGGAAACAAGGAUGAAACUCUGGCUGAAUAUGAUUCUUUGGCAAAUCGUCUAUUGAGCCAAAUUGCACAACUCAUAGAAUCGAACAGUUUGACAAUAUCCGGGAUCAGAUUAUUAUCCAACGAAAAGAAACUCCUUUGGGAGCAACUUGUACCUAAGCGAAAAGUCAGAGAAAAUCAGAGCAGUUCUACUGGUAAGAUAAACAUUGAUUUUUCCAUUACAUUAUGAAGGAAA